Molecule: ribosomal RNA, 1594 nt
Filed under: Campylobacter coli
Lineage: Bacteria; Pseudomonadati; Campylobacterota; Epsilonproteobacteria; Campylobacterales; Campylobacteraceae
Description: partial 23S ribosomal RNA
Rfam family: Bacterial large subunit ribosomal RNA
Source: RNAcentral
AGGUAAGCUACUAAGAGCGAAUGGUGGAUGCCUUGACUGGUAAAGGCGAUGAAGGACGUACUAGACUGCGAUAAGCUACGGGGAGCUGUCAAGAAGCUUUGAUCCGUAGAUUUCCGAAUGGGGCAACCCAAUGUAUAGAGAUAUACAUUACCUAUAUAGGAGCGAACGAGGGGAAUUGAAACAUCUUAGUACCCUCAGGAAAAGAAAUCAAUAGAGAUUGCGUCAGUAGCGGCGAGCGAAAGCGCAAGAGGGCAAACCCAGUGCUUGCACUGGGGGUUGUAGGACUGCAAUGUGCAAGAGGUGAGUUUAGCAGAACAUUCUGGAAAGUAUAGCCAUAGAGGGUGAUAGUCCCGUAUGCGAAAAACAAACCUUAGCUAGCAGUAUCCUGAGUAGGGCGGGACACGAGAAAUCCUGUCUGAAGCUGGGUCGACCACGAUCCAACCCUAAAUACUAAUACCAGAUCGAUAGUGCACAAGUACCGUGAGGGAAAGGUGAAAAGAACUGAGGUGAUCAGAGUGAAAUAGAACCUGAAACCAUUUGCUUACAAUCAUUCAGAGCCCUAUGUAGCAAUACAGGGUGAUGGACUGCCUUUUGCAUAAUGAGCCUGCGAGUUGUGGUGUCUGGCAAGGUUAAGCAAACGCGAAGCCGUAGCGAAAGCGAGUCUGAAUAGGGCGCUUAGUCAGAUGCUGCAGACCCGAAACGAAGUGAUCUAUCCAUGAGCAAGUUGAAGCUAGUGUAAGAACUAGUGGAGGACUGAACCCAUAGGCGUUGAAAAGCCCCGGGAUGACUUGUGGAUAGGGGUGAAAGGCCAAUCAAACUUCGUGAUAGCUGGUUCUCUCCGAAAUAUAUUUAGGUAUAGCGUUGUGUCGUAAUAUAAGGGGGUAGAGCACUGAAUGGGCUAGGGCAUACACCAAUGUACCAAACCCUAUCAAACUCCGAAUACCUUAUAUGUAAUCACAGCAGUCAGGCGGCGAGUGAUAAAAUCCGUCGUCAAGAGGGAAACAACCCAGACUACCAGCUAAGGUCCCUAAAUCUUACUUAAGUGGAAAACGAUGUGAAGUUACUUAAACAACCAGGAGGUUGGCUUAGAAGCAGCCAUCCUUUAAAGAAAGCGUAAUAGCUCACUGGUCUAGUGAUUUUGCGCGGAAAAUAUAACGGGGCUAAAGUAAGUACCGAAGCUGUAGACUUGCGCACAACUUAGAUUAUUUAAGUUUAGAAUAUGAGAAACUAAGUUAUAUGUUUAGUUAUAUUUUUACUGAUUUUUAUAGAGUAAAGAUAGAAAUAAAACUUAGUAAAAUCAGUAAAAAUAUUCUUAGACUAAAGUUAAGUAGUUUAAGUUGUGUGCAAGUGGUAGGAGAGCGUUCUAUUUGCGUCGAAGGUAUACCGGUAAGGAGUGCUGGAGCGAAUAGAAGUGAGCAUGCAGGCAUGAGUAGCGAUAAUUAAUGUGAGAAUCAUUAACGCCGUAAACCCAAGGUUUCCUACGCGAUGCUCGUCAUCGUAGGGUUAGUCGGGUCCUAAGUCGAGUCCGAAAGGGGUAGACGAUGGCAAAUUGGUUAAUAUUCCAAUACCAACAUUAGUGUGCGAUGGAAGGACG